Molecule: ribosomal RNA, 303 nt
Filed under: uncultured bacterium
Lineage: Bacteria
Description: partial 16S ribosomal RNA
Rfam family: Bacterial small subunit ribosomal RNA
Source: RNAcentral
AGCAGUCGCCACGGUAAUACAGAGGGUGCAAGCGUUAAUCGGAAUUACUGGGCGUAAAGCGCGCGUAGGUGGUUUGUUAAGUUGGAUGUGAAAGCCCCGGGCUCAACCUGGGAACUGCAUCCAAAACUGGCAAGCUAGAGUACGGUAGAGGGUGGUGGAAUUUCCUGUGUAGCGGUGAAAUGCGUAGAUAUAGGAAGGAACACCAGUGGCGAAGGCGACCACCUGGACUGAUACUGACACUGAGGUGCGAAAGCGUGGGGAGCAAACAGGAUUAGAUACCCCUGUAGUCCCUGUCUCUUAUAC